GGAGUUGCAAUCGAACUGUGAUGCCAAGAUUUCCGAAUGGAGCAAUCUGCUACGAUGGCGUCUUCGCACGCACGAGGGAACCGGGUGAACUGACACAUCUCAGUAACCCGCGGCAACGAAAGUAAAAACGAUCCCCUACGUAGCGGCGAGCGAACGGGGGUGAGCCCACACCGUAGAUGUGCCAAGGAUGCAGCCGUUGCAUCUACGGGGUAGCGGGAAGAUCGUCUGAAGACCUGCAAGGUAUUCGACACUAUGAUACGCCGAACUGGAAAGGUCUGGAAAGGUCUGCCGUAGAGAGUGAAAGCCCCGUACAGGUAAACCGUAUCCAAUGUAUGACCUCUCCACAGUAGCACGGAACACGAGGAAUUAUGUGUGAAUCUGCGAGGACCAUAUCUCGUAAGGCUAAAUACUCUCACUUACCGAUAGCGAAUAGUAC
RNAcentral lists this ribosomal RNA (436 nucleotides) under Cetobacterium somerae. Its description in RNAcentral is "partial 23S ribosomal RNA". It matches the Rfam family "Bacterial large subunit ribosomal RNA", at positions 82 to 501 of the family's 2925-position model. The record is from RNAcentral. Lineage: Bacteria; Fusobacteriati; Fusobacteriota; Fusobacteriia; Fusobacteriales; Fusobacteriaceae.